RNAcentral lists this ribosomal RNA (775 nucleotides) under uncultured Neocallimastigales. RNAcentral's name for it is "partial large subunit ribosomal RNA". It matches the Rfam family "Eukaryotic large subunit ribosomal RNA", at positions 24 to 633 of the family's 3401-position model. The record is from RNAcentral. Lineage: Eukaryota; Fungi; Neocallimastigomycota; Neocallimastigomycetes; Neocallimastigales.
GUAGUCUCGCACAGAUGCAUAUCAAUAAGCGGAGGAAAAGAAACUAACAAGGAUUCCCCUAGUAACGGCGAGUGAAGCGGGAAGAGCUCAAAUUUGAAAUCUUAAAGGAGUUUCCCUUUACGAAUUGUAGUUUAAAGAAGUGUUUUCUGUUGAGGUUUUGGUAAAAGUUCUUUGGAAUAGGACAUCAUAGAGGGUGAGAAUCCCGUAUUUGACCUUUACUUUCAACUUUGUGAUACACUUUCAAAGAGUCGGAUUGUUUGGGAAUGCAGUCCAAAAUGGGUGGUAAAUUUCAUCUAAAGCUAAAUAUUGGCGAGAGACCGAUAGCGAACAAGUACCGUGAGGGAAAGAUGAAAAGAACUUUGAAAAGAGAGUUAAACAGUACGUGAAAUUGUCAAAAGGGAAGCGUUUGACACCAGUGUUGUUUUUCUGAAAAUCAAUUAAAGAACUGUUUAUGCUAAGCUGUUUAGACUUUAUCAGCUAACUGUUUAGUUUUGAGCUUUUCUUUAAUGCACUUUUCAGUUAACAAGUCAACAUCAAUUUCUUUUGCUGUAAAAAAGCUUGAGGAAGGUGGCUUGAGAUUCGUCUUAAGUGUUUAUAGCCUCUUGCCUAUGCAGUCGGAGAGAUUGAGGUCUGCAGCGUAGAUCCUUCGGGGCUAAAUGCAUUUGUGCUAAGUUAUAGCAUUUUAUAGACAACUUGUUGACUAUGAUUUGUCUUGUAGCUUACUCGCUUAUGUUAUUUUACCUACGCUUAGGAUGUUGAAGACUCUACAGAGAUA